RNAcentral lists this ribosomal RNA (497 nucleotides) under uncultured bacterium. RNAcentral's name for it is "partial 16S ribosomal RNA". It matches the Rfam family "Bacterial small subunit ribosomal RNA", at positions 28 to 507 of the family's 1533-position model. The record is from RNAcentral.
GACGAACGCUGGCGGCGUGCCUAACACAUGCAAGUCGAACGAAAAGAUCAGGAGUUUGCGCGUUUGACGUUAGCGGCGGACGGGAGAGUCACAUGUGUAUAACCUACCUAUCAGACUGGGAUAAUCACGGGAAACCGGAUCUUAUACCGGAUAACAUAUUGCACCGUGUUGUUCAAUAGUGAAAUGCGGCUUUUGUGUCAGUAAUAGCUGGAUCAGCGCCGUAUGCGCUAGUUGGUAGGGUAAUGGCUUACCAAGGCUAGGAUACGUAGCCGACCGGAGAGGGUGGUCGGCGACAUUGGAAGUGAGACAGGGCCGAGACUCCUAGGGUAGGCAGCAGUAGGGAAUCGUACGCAAUGGGGGAGAGCGUGACAGAGCAACGCGGCGUGAGUGAUGAUGGAGUUCGGAUCGGAAAGCUCUGUUGUCAGGGAAGAACAAAUGUGUAAUUAACCGGGCAGAUAUUGACGGUACCGGGUCAAAAAGCCCCGGCUAACUACGUG